This 416-nucleotide ribosomal RNA is filed under the name uncultured Lactobacillus sp. RNAcentral describes it as "bacterial SSU rRNA". It matches the Rfam family "Bacterial small subunit ribosomal RNA", at positions 72 to 476 of the family's 1533-position model. The record is from RNAcentral. Lineage: Bacteria; Bacillati; Bacillota; Bacilli; Lactobacillales; Lactobacillaceae.
CUGUGAAACAAGAUACAGGCUAGCGGCGGACGGGUGAGUAACACGUGGGUAACCUGCCCAAGAGAUCGGGAUAACACCUGGAAACAGAUGCUAAUACCGGAUAACAACAGAUGAUGCCUAUCAACUGUUUAAAAGAUGGUUCUGCUAUCACUCUUGGAUGGACCUGCGGUGCAUUAGCUAGUUGGUAGGGUAACGGCCUACCAAGGCGAUGAUGCAUAGCCGAGUUGAGAGACUGAUCGGCCACAUUGGGGCUGAGACACGGCCCAAACUCCUACGGGAGGCAGCAGUAGGGAAUCUUCCACAAUGGACGCAAGUCUGAUGGAGCAACGCCGCGUGAGUGAAGAAGGGUUUCGGCUCGUAAAGCUCUGUUGUUGGUGAAGAAGGACAGGGGUAGUAACUGACCUUUGUUUGACGGU